Molecule: long non-coding RNA, 3198 nt
Organism: Passer domesticus (house sparrow)
Lineage: Eukaryota; Metazoa; Chordata; Aves; Passeriformes; Passeridae
Exons: 5
Source: RefSeq, a predicted model, not a curated record
AACACUUUCUGACACUUUUCCUGAGCACCAACAACCCGGCCACUUUCUCGGGAGAGGCUCGGGGGGCUCAGUCUCCCUCCUCCAGAGGCGCUUCCCAGGCAGAGAGAAAGGAAGGGGGGAGAGAAGGGCAGGGGGUGCGUUUGGGGCCCGCCGGGCACUCACUCCGGUAGUACUGGUUCCUGGCCAGGAGGCAGCCGGCGGACGGGACGGAGGCCAUGGCAGCGACAGACGGGGAAUCCGCCUUUCUCCGGGAGGAGCCUGCGGGGGAAAGGACGCGCUGAGCUGUGGGUAAGAACACAGAGGUGAAGAGUGUGUGAUACGAUGUUACUGUCACAUCUGCUUGAAUAGUGAAUUCUAUCUCAAAUGGACAUAGCUCACAAUAGCUCCUGGCAUAUUUAUAAGAGUGUAAACCACACUGCAGGGAAACCACCUCUAAAACAAUACCUACACAGCAUUUGUAGCAGGCCUCACAAACAUCCAUCCAUUUCAGAGCCAUGCCAAAAUACUCAGGAGCUGUGGAACACCAGUAAGAAUGCAGAAUCCUCUGAAUAUAGAACUGCAGGCUUUCCCAGUGUUUUUUCGUGCAUGGUCAUUCUGGCAGACUGUUUCUAAAAUACUGGCACAGCUAUUUUAAAGUACUGCUACAAAACCAAGGUAGAAUGGGCUGAGGCUCACCAGUUUCAACACAACCUGAUACCUCUGCAAAGGCAUCCUCGAAAGUUGUAGUAGCCCAUCAUGCCUCACAGUGCAUAGACACUAUCCCUCAGAAUUGAGACAUAUUGGCAUCCUCAUUUCUUGACGACUAGUUCUGUCACCAGGCCAGAUGCUCAGAAUGGAGCAGCAUGAGGUGCAAAAAGAAUCAGGGAACUUGUGAAUAAGAAGAACAUAUUCAUAAUUUUGCAGCUGGAAAAUUUCCGAUUAACCUAGCAACAGAGCUGGCCCAGGACAUCACAGAGCAGAAUUGUUCCAAAAUUAAGAAGGCAAAAUGUACUUGUACAGCCGUCUUAGAGUAAACUGUACAUCCUGAAGGUGUGGCAGACUUUUGUCUUCUUGGUGAGGUUGUGACAGCAACACCUGAAGAAACAUGAAAGCCUUAAUUCAGUCACAAAUCCCUCCAGCCUGCAGAGCAGGAAAGCUGGCUGUGUCUGACUUAUCACACCAGUACAUCAGGUCAGAUCCUCAGUUCAUUAUGCUUGUUGUUUCCUUCUUCUCUCAAAAUUUAACCAGUUGACCUCAGUUGUGCAAAUACCAUUAGGACUGAUCAGGUACUCUGCCAUUUUUUCUAGACUCCCACACACUUAAUUUCAUCUGAAAUAGUAGUUUAAAAAUGCUUAGUACCAUUCUUUGGCCCUGAAGACAACUGUUAUGAAAUGGCCAACAAGCACACUGUUUUAUACUGCAAAAUAAGAUGUUUACAACCAAAAUGAUGAAGAAUUCUCUCUUGCUUGUGUUAAAACCCAAGCUGCUUAGCAGUUUUUUGGGAAAAAGCCAGGGAAAGCCCUAAGCCAUUCCAGGACAUUUCUAAUUAUCUUAAUAGCAUGGACAAUCAUGUUCUGUCUCCUGUCAAGGUUCCCUGGCAUUAAUUCAAGGGCUAGUUAAUUUAAUGUAACGUCACCAAUACCUAGUGUAAGAUCCAGAGUCCAAUAAGCUGGCAGACAAAUGACUCUGCUAGGCAUCCAUUUGAAAACCUACCAUGUUUAACAUUUGGGUGUAGAUGGCUAAUUAGAGUCCAGUUAUUGCAUUUCUUUAGAUCUAAUGCAGUGGCUGUUUCCAUCUCCACAGAUGCUGCUGGCAGGAAGUCUUUCUCUGAGGCUUCUGCAAAGCUGCCUCCACAUGCACAGUGCCAAGUCUUUUAGUGCAGCAAGGGCCAGAGCACAGUCCCAUUCACACAACCAGAGAGGGCCUUCUGCCUUAAAUAUGCAACACACCAGCAAUAAAAAGAGAGGAGAACAGGCACUGCCAAUCUCUGUUUCUCUGAUCAUUUAGGAGCCAAAAAAAAAAGAAAAAGCAAUCCAAAAAGCAGGAGAGAAAAUAGCCAGACAUGCAACUUCUUUGGGAGACCAUUCUUCCCAGUCUCAAUCCUACCUGACACCAUUGCUGAUCCUCUAAGCAUGACAUACUGACACUGCACUUCAAUUUGCCUUAUGAAAAAGGAAAGGUAGCCAAGCUGAGCACUUCACAAGAUAAAAGUGCCCAGCAUCCCAGCAGAAUUUGCUCCAAAUAUGAACUCAUCUCACUUGCAAUGAAGGCAUAGUUGGCAGCAUUUCCUGGAGCUGAGGAAAAACAGUAAGAGCUUCUUCAUCCCAUAAAACUAUAAGGUGGAUGCAAGUGGUUAGUCUGUGUCAGGAUAUACUGUUUACAUUCCCACGUGGGAAUCUGAGGCCAUGUUCACUGCUACUGAACCACUAGCGUUACAGGUUUGAAACAGUAGUAGUACACUCAAGAAACACAGAAGAGGAUGAAAUGAAAUGAAAUGAAAUGAAAUGAAAUGAAAUGAAAUGAAAUGAAAUGAAAUGAAAUGAAAUGAUGAAAUAAAAUAUGGCAAGGGAUCCUUCAAUCCAGAGUGUCUUAAUCUGUAGGAUGUAUUUUGCCAAGGCACUAAGCAAACCAUUCUCACCACAGAGUUACAUUGAGUGCAUCAAAGAGACAGUAAUUUACUCUAAAUAAGACCAACUCAGUUGAGAUGUGUGCUCCAGUCUACUGCCUCUUGUGACACAAUCUGCACUGACAAGUGUUUGUAGACUUCCUGUGAUGCUGAAUCAUAUCAAAAUUGAUGAAGAAUCAGAGGAAUUGCCACUGAUGUGCUGCUGAUAGGGGGGAUGUCCUUCAGAUGAAUGGGAGUGUGACCACACUGGUGAUGCUACAGGUACCUCUCCUCAGAGUGACUAGACUCGACUCUGAAUACAGCUGCUAGACUCAAAACACCUAGUUCCUUGGCUUUUGUUUUCUUAUAGUUGAAAUAUUUGCAGAAGUUUAGUCCAUUUUUUUCUGACAAAUGAGAACUGAGGCCUACCUGAAGCCUUGCAAUUUCAGGAACACAAGUAUACUUGUAGUAUGAUUUUAUUGGCUAGGUUCAUAGUAGGUUUUCCUAGCAAAUGCCAAUAUGGAAAAACCAAACUUCGACAAAGGUCUAAAGAUUAGAGUUGAUAGUGUAGUCAAAGUUUGAUACAGUUUAAUAAAGUUUUCACAUUAUUUUCA